GGAGGGACCAAGUAUCCGGAAAAUGCUCUGGGGCCCAGAGGAUGGAGCAGGAAGAGGAGUCUCACUUUAAAGCUGGGCUUUAAAGGAUGAAUAAGAGUUUUCCAAACCAUGUGGGGAAGGAGAGGACAGCUCCAGGUGCUCCUUCUGGAACAGUCGCUCUUGGGGAAGCCAGCUGCCACGUCCUAAGGACACAUAGCCAUGGCAAGGAACUGAGGUCACCAGCCAGCAGCCAGUGAGGAAAGGAGGCUUCCUCCCUGUCAUGGAAGCAGGUCAGCCCCCAGCCCGCCUUUCAGAUGGUGACAGCCUCACGGAACAGUGUGACAACAACCUCAUGAGAGACUCAGGCAGAAACACCCAGGCCUGGGAUGUGCUCAGAUCAGUGCCUCAGCAAAUUAAUUGGGAAAGGAGUACAUCAAGGCUGUACAUUGUUACCCUGCUUACUUAACUUAUAUGCAGAGUAUAUCAUGCAAAAUACCAGGCUGGAUAAAGCACAGGCUGAAGUCAA
Cervus elaphus (red deer) is the source of this 505-nucleotide long non-coding RNA. RefSeq lists it as uncharacterized. NCBI's taxonomy places the organism in Eukaryota, Metazoa, Chordata, Mammalia, Artiodactyla, Cervidae. The record is from RefSeq and is a predicted model, not a curated record. The transcript is spliced from 3 exons.